UACGUAGGGGGCAAGCGUUAUCCGGAUUCAUUGGGCGUAAAGCGCGCGCAGGCGGGCCGCUAAGCGGGACCUCUAAUCUUGGGGCUCAACCUCAAGCCGGGUCCCGAACUGGCAGCCUCGAGUGCGGUAGGGGUAAGCGGAAUUCCCGGUGUAGCGGUGGAAUGCGCAGAUAUCGGGAAGAACACCGAUGGCGAAGGCAGCUUACUGGGCCGACACUGACGCUGAGGCGCGAAAGCUAGGGGAGCGAACAGG
This 252-nucleotide ribosomal RNA is filed under the name uncultured bacterium. RNAcentral describes it as "partial 16S ribosomal RNA". It matches the Rfam family "Bacterial small subunit ribosomal RNA", at positions 524 to 776 of the family's 1533-position model. The record is from RNAcentral.